Molecule: ribosomal RNA, 467 nt
Filed under: Lucidestea sp. FC-2015
Lineage: Eukaryota; Metazoa; Mollusca; Gastropoda; Littorinimorpha; Rissoidae
Description: partial 16S ribosomal RNA
Rfam family: Bacterial large subunit ribosomal RNA
Source: RNAcentral
UGGCUCUUUGAAAGAUCAAAUAAAGAGUCGAGCCUGCCCAGUGAGUAGUUUUUAACGGCCGCAGUACCCUGACUGUGCGAAGGUAGCAUAAUAAUUUGCCCUAUAAUUGAGGGCUAGAAUGAAUGGUUUGACAAGAACGUAGCUGUCUCCACAAAAUUUAAUAGAAAUUAACUUGCAGGUGAAGAGGCCUGUAUUAGACUAAAAGACGAGAAGACCCUAUUGAGCUUUAAAUAGAGUUUAAAAUAAUAUUUGAAAUUAUUUUUGGUUGGGGCGACUUAGGAACAAAUAAGCUUCCUUUUUAAUACAAAGUAUUUUUAAUGAUCCAGUAUCACUGAUUAAUUGAAUAAGCUACCAUAGGGAUAACAGCGUUAUUUCUUUUAAGAGUUCCGAUCGAAAAGGAUGUUUGCGACCUCGAUGUUGAAUUAAGGUGUCCUAAUAGUGCAGCAGUUAUUAAGGGUUGGUCUGUU